AGAGCGAACGCUGGCGGCGUGCUUAACACAUGCAAGUCGAACGCGCAGCAUUCUGUAGCAAUACAGGGUGUGGGCGCGUGGCGAACGGGUGCGUAACACGUGGAUAACCUUCCUUCGGGUGGGGAAUAACCCAGUGAAAAUUGGGCUAAUACCGCAUAACAUCGCGAUGGCACAUGCCGUUGCGUUCAAAGGCGCAAGUCGCCAGAAGAGGGAUCCGCGGCCGAUUAGCUUGUUGGCGGGGUAACGGCCCACCAAGGCUUUGAUCGGUA
Molecule: ribosomal RNA, 269 nt
Filed under: uncultured bacterium
Lineage: Bacteria
Description: partial small subunit ribosomal RNA
Rfam family: Bacterial small subunit ribosomal RNA
Source: RNAcentral